This 253-nucleotide ribosomal RNA is filed under the name uncultured bacterium. Its description in RNAcentral is "partial 16S ribosomal RNA". It matches the Rfam family "Bacterial small subunit ribosomal RNA", at positions 524 to 776 of the family's 1533-position model. The record is from RNAcentral.
UACGUAGGGGUCUAGCGUUGUCCGGAAUCAUUGGGCGUAAAGCGCGUGUAGGCGGUCCGGUAAGUCCGCUGUGAAAGUCGGGGGCUCAACCCUCGAAUGCCGGUGGAUACUGUCGGGCUAGAGUGCGGAAGAGGCGAGUGGAAUUCCUGGUGUAGCGGUGAAAUGCGCAGAUAUCAGGAGGAACACCAAUUGCGAAGGCAGCUCGCUGGGACGUUACUGACGCUGAGACGCGAAAGCGUGGGGAGCAAACAGG